CCUCCCCCUAGAGGCACUGUAGGUAUGGCUGCUGUGUCACAUGUUUGUUAAUAGGUGGCAGAGAGGCAAAAGGCUACAUCUAUGCCCAGUGUUCUCACCUGUGAACAUCUGAAUGAUUAAGUAACCCAACAUU
Arvicanthis niloticus (Nile rat) is the source of this 133-nucleotide small nucleolar RNA. RefSeq annotates it as small nucleolar RNA SNORA17. The record is from RefSeq and is a predicted model, not a curated record. NCBI's taxonomy places the organism in Eukaryota, Metazoa, Chordata, Mammalia, Rodentia, Muridae.